RNAcentral lists this ribosomal RNA (549 nucleotides) under uncultured bacterium. RNAcentral's name for it is "bacterial SSU rRNA". It matches the Rfam family "Bacterial small subunit ribosomal RNA", at positions 356 to 896 of the family's 1533-position model. The record is from RNAcentral.
GGGGAAUCUUCCGCAAUGGACGAAAGUCUGACGGAGCAACGCCGCGUGAGUGAUGACGGCCUUCGGGUUGUAAAGCUCUGUUAAUCGGGACGAAAGGCCUUCUUGCGAAUAGUUAGAAGGAUUGACGGUACCGGAAUAGAAAGCCACGGCUAACUACGUGCCAGCAGCCGCGGUAAUACGUAGGUGGCAAGCGUUGUCCGGAAUUAUUGGGCGUAAAGCGCGCGCAGGCGGUUUGGUCAGUCUGUCUUCAAAGUUCGGGGCUUAACCCCGUGAUGGGAUGGAAACUGCCAAUCUAGAGUAUCGGAGAGGAAAGUGGAAUUCCUAGUGUAGCGGUGAAAUGCGUAGAUAUUAGGAAGAACACCAGUGGCGAAGGCGACUUUCUGGACGAAAACUGACGCUGAGGCGCGAAAGCCAGGGGAGCGAACGGGAUUAGAUACCCCGGUAGUCCUGGCCGUAAACGAUGGGUACUAGGUGUAGGAGGUAUCGACCCCUUCUGUGCCGGAGUUAACGCAAUAAGUACCCCGCCUGGGGAGUACGACCGCAAGGUUG